AGUCUGGUGCCAGCAGCCGCGGUAAUUCCAGCUCCAAUAGCGUAUAUUAAAGUUGUUGCGUCUAAAAAGCUCGUAGUUUGAAAACUUGCCUUGGCUUACAACAGACGUCUAAGGGCGUCACCGUUUGUCGAGAGCAAAUAUGGGUGACUGUUCUUGCCUUCUUCACUGAUUGGCUCGUAAAAGUCAUCGAAGAUCACUUUGAUUAAAUUAGGGUGCUCAAAGCAAGUGUGCUACUUGAAUAUGAAUGCAUGGAAUGAUGGAAUAUGUUGUUGUUCUAUUUGUUGGUUUUUUGAAUGACGAAAUGAUUGAAAGGAACUGUUGGGGGCAUUCGUAUUGUUGUGAGAGAGGUGAAAUUCUUAGACCAUAGCAAGACGAACUACUGCGAAAGCAUUUGCCAAGAAUGUUUUCAUUGAUCAAGAACGAAAGUUAGAGGUUCGAAGGCGAUCAGAUACCGCCCUAGUUCUAACCAUAAACUAUGCCGACUAGCAAUUUGCUUUGUAUUUUUAUGACUAAGUGAGAGGCCACGGGAAACCAAAGUAGGGUUAUGGGGGAAGUAUGGUUGCAAAGCUGAAACUUAAAGGAAUUGACGGAAGGGCACCACCAGGAGUGGAGCCUGCGGCUUAAUUUGACCCAACACGGGAAAACUUACCUGGUCCUGACACUAGAAGGAUUGACAGAUUGAUAGCUCUUUCUUGAUUUGGUGGAUGGUGGUGCAUGGCCGUUCUUAGUUGGUGGAGUGAUUUGUCUGGUUAAUUCCGAUAACGAACGAGACUCUAGCCUAUUAAAUAAUAUGCGGAAUCAAUUUCUCCCGCGUUAUUUCUUAAUGGGAUCAAGCGUUUUUAACGCUUUGAAACAGAGCAAUAACAGGUCUGUGAUGCCCUUAGAUGUUCGGGGCUGCACGCGCGCUACAUUGAAGAACAAAGUGAGCCCUCUGGCUUUUAACAAAGCUAGAAAUCUUUUAAUGUUCUUCUUAAUGGGGAUAGGGGAUUGCAAUUGUGCCCCUUGAACGAGGAAUUCCCAGUAAGUGCUAGUCAUUAGCUAGUACUGAUUACGUCCCUGCCCUUUGUACACACCGCCCGUCGCUACUACCGAUUGAAUAGUUUAGUGAGAUCAUCUGAGUGUUUGUAUGUGCAUUCUGUGCUUGUAUGGUGUACGAAGAAGAUCAAACUUGAUUAUUUAGAGGAAGUAAAAGUCGUAACAAGGUUUCCGUAGGUGGUCCUGCGGAAG
This 1227-nucleotide ribosomal RNA is filed under the name metagenome. RNAcentral's name for it is "SSU rRNA". It matches the Rfam family "Eukaryotic small subunit ribosomal RNA", at positions 558 to 1823 of the family's 1831-position model. The record is from RNAcentral.